This 111-nucleotide transfer RNA is filed under the name Actinoplanes digitatis. Its description in RNAcentral is "Amorphoplanes digitatis tRNA-Tyr". The record is from RNAcentral. Lineage: Bacteria; Bacillati; Actinomycetota; Actinomycetes; Micromonosporales; Micromonosporaceae.
GGCGGACGGCGCGGCGACCACCUGAACCCGGGCAGCCCCGGACCGCCCGCGGGUGCGGACUGUAAAUCCGUCGUCAAAGCUACAGAGGUUCGCAUCCUCUACCCGCCACCA